This 72-nucleotide transfer RNA is filed under the name Bos taurus (domestic cattle). It matches the Rfam family "tRNA". Rfam says of the family: Transfer RNA (tRNA) molecules are approximately 80 nucleotides in length. Lineage: Eukaryota; Metazoa; Chordata; Mammalia; Artiodactyla; Bovidae. The record is from Rfam by way of RNAcentral. RNAcentral also lists the same sequence under 1 other name.
UCCCUUGUAGCUCAGUUAGUAAAGAAUCUGCCUGCAAUGCAGGAGACCCGGGUUCCAUCCCUGGGUGGGGAA